This 759-nucleotide long non-coding RNA is filed under the name Castor canadensis (American beaver). Its description in RNAcentral is "lncRNA (ENSCCNG00000004228.1)". Lineage: Eukaryota; Metazoa; Chordata; Mammalia; Rodentia; Castoridae. The record is from RNAcentral.
GGAGGAGGAGAAGGGGGAGGGGAGGAAAGGAACAGGGAGACGGAUUUGGGGAUCCUGGCUGGAAGCGAUCUCUAAACCAGCUGGAGGAUUCGCUUCUCCUGCUGGUCGGACUGGGUGACUUGGAAGCUCUGGGUAGAGGUGGUGGAUCUCGGCCUAGUUUGUUUGCUCAAAUAGAACUCUACUAGAGGAAAUCAAUCAAUCUGCAGAAAAAAAAACAAAAAAAAUGGAAGUAGGAGUUUGGGGAGAGUUGUCACUUCCCCAACGGGAGAGUCGCUGGCUUGGGGCGGAGACUUGGGACCAAAGAGAGGCCCUUCUCAACCAUCUCAGCUCCUUUCACAGGACUUCCAGAAGGAAGAUUGCACCUUCUCCCGGCUUCUUCCCCUACUCCCAUCUUGCUCGCCUGCCAGACUGUACCUCCUUACCCUAGGAGCCAGAGAAGCCAGGUUCCCGAGCCCAAGAAGUCUGCUCCCACGCCCCUCCCGCUCCCACGCCUCCCCCACCCCCCUCCAGCUAUCGCCACUGCCACCACCUCGGUUCCACUCAAUCGAUUUUUGCUGCAUGUCAACACUUAUUACCGUUAGUCGUUCAUGAGUAGCUUCAUGAGGACCUGACGCCUUCUGCCAUCAGCUAUGCCAGUGAUGUUAGGACUGGAUUCUCCAGCUCGCCACAUAACUUUAGCCGUAGCCAAGAGCUUAACUGCAUGCUUCUGAGAGUCCCAGAGCAAGAACUGCCCAGCUAAGCUGCUCCCACAUUCCUGGC